UACGUAGGUGGCAAGCGUUGUCCGGAUUUAUUGGGCUUAAAGGGUGCGUAGGCGGCCCUAUAAGUCAGUGCUGAAAUAUCCCGGCUUAACCGGGAGGGUGGCAUUGAUACUGUAGGGCUUGAGUAAAGUUGAGGUUGGCGGAAUUGACGGUGUAGCGGUGAAAUGCUUAGAUAUCGUCAAGAACACCUAUUGCGAAGGCAGCUAACUAAGCUUUAACUGACGCUGAGGCACGAAAGUGUGGGGAGCAAACAGG
Molecule: ribosomal RNA, 253 nt
Filed under: uncultured bacterium
Lineage: Bacteria
Description: partial 16S ribosomal RNA
Rfam family: Bacterial small subunit ribosomal RNA
Source: RNAcentral